RNAcentral lists this long non-coding RNA (1028 nucleotides) under Anser brachyrhynchus (Pink-footed goose). Its description in RNAcentral is "lncRNA (ENSABRG00000007131.1)". Lineage: Eukaryota; Metazoa; Chordata; Aves; Anseriformes; Anatidae. The record is from RNAcentral.
UAGACACAAAAACUUGCUAUGAAAUUCCAAACCAUCUCUGAAGAAUGGUUAUCUGUACAGGUUACCUGACUUUAAAGGAAGUUCAGCAGUAAUGAAACCACAGCCAUUAUAAUGGCUUUGGAAGGCAUACAUCCAUCUUGCAAGGUAAUAGCUUAAUAACAUAAUUCUAAUUCUAAUACUAGGCAUGCUGUGCUUUGGAUACAAAGAGCAAUGCAAUCAUACAAAUGUCAAAUGCCAAAGAGGAGCACGCGGAAGCAGUGAAAGGCUCGGAGUGAAAGUGAUGAACAAAUCCCUUAAGGGAAGGGCAGCAUGUGGUUGUGCUGGACAGUGAGCUAAGCAGGGGCUGAAGACCCAGAAGAGCUCUGCAUUCACUUCAGUGGAGCAAGACUUUUGUGUUUACACAGGAGAUGACCUGGAUGUGUGAUCGUAAAUUAACAAAGAGGUAAUACCCAUUCAGUUUUUAUCACGUUUGGCCUAACUAUAAGGGAAUCAUUUCUUUUGCUCUUAAACGUUACUGAGGCAACAUGCUUAAGUAUGAUAUAAAACAUUUUGCUCUGUUUUUAUGGGGCCAUUGGUAGAAUCUUGGAACAGAAAUAUUGGCUGCGUACUGACUGGCCGCUAAUGAGUUGGCACUUAUACAUUUGAGGGAUUUAAAGAAGAUUCAAAUAGUAAAGAUACUAAAGAGUAGUCAGGCACAGGAACGGGUUGCUCAGGGAGGUGGUGGAGUCACUGUCCCUGGGGGGUGUUUAAGGAAAGGCUGGAUGUGGUACUUAGGGACACGGUUUAGUGGAGUGAUAGUGGUGGUAAGGGGACGGUUGGACCAGAAGAUCUUGGGGGGCUUUUCCAACCUUCAUGAUUCUAGGAUUCUAUGAUUUGGGAGACACGUGGCAUAACACGUGCAGAACUAACAGGGAAGAAGAGAGUUCACAUUUAUCCGUUUUGAGAAUUUAAAGAAGAUUCAGGAGACGUGUGGCACAACACAGCUAGAACAGAGAAUAAAAGUCGAGGCAACCCCGAAUUUCCUCCCA